GAUGGGCUCGCGGCCUAUCAGCUUGUUGGUGAGGUAAUGGCUCACCAAGGCGUCGACGGGUAGCCGGCCUGAGAGGGUGACCGGCCACACUGGGACUGAGACACGGCCCAGACUCCUACGGGAGGCAGCAGUGGGGAAUAUUGCACAAUGGGCGGAAGCCUGAUGCAGCAACGCCGCGUGAGGGAUGACGGCCUUCGGGUUGUAAACCUCUUUUAGCAGGGAAGAAGCGAGAGUGACGGUACCUGCAGAAAAAGCACCGGCUAACUACGUGCCAGCAGCCGCGGUAAUACGUAGGGUGCAAGCGUUAUCCGGAAUUAUUGGGCGUAAAGAGCUCGUAGGCGGUUUGUCGCGUCUGCUGUGAAAUCCCGAGGCUCAACUUCGGGCUUGCAGUGGGUACGGGCAGACUAGAGUGCGGUAGGGGAGAUUGGAAUUCCUGGUGUAGCGGUGGAAUGCGCAGAUAUCAGGAGGAACACCGAUGGCGAAGGCAGA
RNAcentral lists this ribosomal RNA (489 nucleotides) under Microbacterium sp. TBA9. Its description in RNAcentral is "bacterial SSU rRNA". It matches the Rfam family "Bacterial small subunit ribosomal RNA", at positions 224 to 725 of the family's 1533-position model. The record is from RNAcentral. Lineage: Bacteria; Bacillati; Actinomycetota; Actinomycetes; Micrococcales; Microbacteriaceae.